CCCGCUGGAACUUAAGCAUAUCAAUAAGCGGAGGAAAAGAAACCAACAGGGAUUACCUCAGUAACGGCGAGUGAAGCGGUAACAGCUCAAAUUUGAAAGCUGCCAACAGGCCGCGUUGUAAUUUGUAGAAGAUGCUUUGGGUGUUGGCCUAGUCUAAGUUCCUUGGAACAGGACGUCAUAGAGGGUGAGAAUCCCGUAUGUGAUUAGUGCCAUCCCCCGUGUAAAGCUCUUUCGACGAGUCGAGUUGUUUGGGAAUGCAGCUCAAAAUGGGUGGUAAAUUUCAUCUAAAGCUAAAUAUUGGCCAGAGACCGAUAGCGCACAAGUAGAGUGAUCGAAAGAUGAAAAGCACUUUGGAAAGAGAGUUAAACAGUACGUGAAAUUGUUGAAAGGGAAGCGCUUGCAAUCAGACUUGCAGGCGGUUGAUCAUCCGAGGUUCUCCCCGGUGCACUCGAUCGUCUUCAGGCCAGCAUCGGUUUCAGUGGUGGGAUAAAGGCUGUGAGAAUGUGGCUCUUCGGAGUGUUAUAGCUCACGGUGCAAUGCCGCCUACUGGGACCGAGGACCGCGCUUCGGCUAGGAUGCUGGCGUAAUGGUUGUAAGCGACCCGUCUUGAAAACACGGA
This 619-nucleotide ribosomal RNA is filed under the name Dermateaceae sp. Its description in RNAcentral is "partial large subunit ribosomal RNA". It matches the Rfam family "Eukaryotic large subunit ribosomal RNA", at positions 24 to 665 of the family's 3401-position model. Lineage: Eukaryota; Fungi; Ascomycota; Leotiomycetes; Helotiales; Dermateaceae. The record is from RNAcentral.